RNAcentral lists this ribosomal RNA (492 nucleotides) under uncultured bacterium. RNAcentral describes it as "partial 16S ribosomal RNA". It matches the Rfam family "Bacterial small subunit ribosomal RNA", at positions 29 to 507 of the family's 1533-position model. The record is from RNAcentral.
AGUGAACGCUGGCGGUAGGCCUAACACAUGCAAGUCGAACGGCAGCACAGUAAGAUCUUGCUCUUACGGGUGGCGACUGGCGGACGGGUGAGGAAUACAUCGGAAUCUUCUUUUUCUUGGGGGAUAUCGUAGGGCAACUUACGCUAAUACCUCAUACGACCUACGGGUGGAAGCAGGGGAUCUUCGGACCUUGCCCGACUGAAUGAGCCGAUGUCGGAUUAGCUAGUUGGCUGGGUAAAGGCCCACCAAGGCGACGAUCCGUAGCUGGUCUGAGAGGAUGAUCGGCCACACUGGAACUGAGACACGGUCCAGACUCCUACGGGAGGCAGCAGUGGGGAAUAUUGGACAAUGGGCGAAAGCCUGAUCCAGCAAUACCGCGUGGGUGAAGAAGGCCUUCGGGUUGUAAAGCCCUUUUGUUGGGAAAGAAAAGAAGCAGGUUAAUACCCCGAUGUUCUGACGGUACCCAAAGAGUAAGCAACGGCUAACUUCGUG